CAUCCCCUCCUCUCUCUCUCUCUCUCUUUUUUUUCCCUUCUUUUACAUCUUUUAGUACAAGAGUGGGGAGGUUUGAGGAGAACUGUCCAGCGCAACUUCCGUAAAUCCGGAAUUCGAUAUUCGUUUGUGAACAAUCCAUCUCGGUCUAAGUACCUUUGGUGGGUGGGGAGGGUUGGCUGAAACUUUUCCCCCUCCACUCCCUUUGCGUGGAAGUGGUUCCCAAGAUCUUGAAGAUGCGCGCUCAAGACAAAACUACGGUAGGUUAGGUCUUUCCACUGGCAGGCUUCAUAGUCCUCCAGAGAAGAUCCAACAGAGUACUAACUAGGAUUUUUCCAUUCAUCAAGACCGGAGCUUCGCGUUCUCUUUCCAGCGAGUCGAACGUCCGUUUGAAAUGCCAUGUGUGCUGGAGAAUGGACAGGAGGAUAUAUAUCUGCCAACAAACGCCCGUGAGAGAGACUAACUAACCAAUACGCAGUAGAUGUCAGCAGAAGUGGUUCCGCCCGUGGUACUAUUAUUAUUCCCCUUCAUCCAAGGGAAAAAAAAAAAAAGGCUCGGGGCGCUUAUCUUAAUAACAUGUUUGAAAGUUUAGCCGCGAGCGAUCCCCGAAUUAUCCACGAAUGCAUGAGGCGGAUUUGGAAAGCCCUCCUCCCAAAAGAAGCAAAAAAAACGAAAAACACUAUCUAUGGCGAGAGGCUCAUCUGCACACUCCUAAACGAAAAUAAUGUACCAAUAACAGGAGCUGUGUAAGUAAGGCAAGGAUGGCUCAGGGCUCCAAGAAGUCCUUCCUUGGUCGAGUAGCAAACGGGCGCUGGCGAAAAAAGGGCA
RNAcentral lists this small RNA (825 nucleotides) under Histoplasma ohiense. Its description in RNAcentral is "hypothetical lncRNA". The record is from RNAcentral. Lineage: Eukaryota; Fungi; Ascomycota; Eurotiomycetes; Onygenales; Ajellomycetaceae.